Molecule: ribosomal RNA, 433 nt
Filed under: uncultured Anaerovorax sp.
Lineage: Bacteria; Bacillati; Bacillota; Clostridia; Peptostreptococcales; Anaerovoracaceae
Description: partial 16S ribosomal RNA
Rfam family: Bacterial small subunit ribosomal RNA
Source: RNAcentral
ACGGAAGGCAGCAGUGGGGAAUAUUGUACAAUGGAGGAAACUCUGAUGCAGCAACGCCGCGUGAAGGAUGAAGGUCUUCGGAUUGUAAACUUCUGUCCUUAGGGAAGAUAAUGACGGUACCUUUGGAGGAAGCCCCGGCUAACUACGUGCCAGCAGCCGCGGUAAUACGUAGGGGGCAAGCGUUAUCCGGAAUUAUUGGGCGUAAAGGGUGCGUAGGUGGUUACCUAAGCAGGGGGUGAAAGGCAUUGGCUUAACCAAUGUUAGCCCCCUGAACUGGGCUACUUGAGUACAGGAGGGGAAAGUGGAAUUCCUAGUGUAGCGGUGAAAUGCGUAGAUAUUAGGAGGAACACCGGUGGCGAAGGCGACUUUCUGGACUGUUACUGACACUGAGGCACGAAAGUGUGGGGAGCAAACAGGAUUAGAUACCCUGGUA